AGUUCUGUGGGAGUCAUCGGUAUCAACCAUACAUAAAUACAUAGAUAAAUAAAAAGUAUUAUUUCGUUAUCAGUUAGUGAAAACUCAUAUGAAAAGAGUGCAGUUCGUUCCAGAUUUAGUUAAUUUGUACAACAAAACUUCUCACCUUUAUCACGUCAAUGAUCAAAAGCAAAAAUGGACUCAGGCAGUUCGACGAAACGAGUAAAUCUACUAGAUUCGACAGGAAUAAAGCACAGAAAUAUAAAAAGUAUACCUUUCUAAUAUACCUUACUAUAGAAAAUUAUAGUACACCAGAGAAUGUUACAGAAUUAUCUAAUUAAAACAAUGUUAUCUUGUAUGAAACUUAACUAGCAAUAACUCUGUAUAAUAUAAAAAAUAUUUUCUAUUUUCUUAUUAUUUAUAAAGUGUUUUAGAUAAGAGUGGAAAUUUAAUUAUUUAUAUUUAUAGUAAUGA
Molecule: long non-coding RNA, 453 nt
Organism: Sitophilus oryzae (rice weevil)
Lineage: Eukaryota; Metazoa; Arthropoda; Insecta; Coleoptera; Curculionidae
Exons: 3
Source: RefSeq, a predicted model, not a curated record